Molecule: ribosomal RNA, 238 nt
Filed under: uncultured bacterium
Lineage: Bacteria
Description: partial 16S ribosomal RNA
Rfam family: Bacterial small subunit ribosomal RNA
Source: RNAcentral
GUAAGCUAAUCUCUUAAAGCCGUUCUCAGUUCGGACUGUAGGCUGCAACUCGCCUACACGAAGUCGGAAUCGCUAGUAAUCGCGGAUCAGCAUGCCGCGGUGAAUACGUUCCCGGGCCUUGUACACACCGCCCGUCACACCAUGGGAGUCGGUAACACCCGAAGUCGGUAGCCUAACCGUAAGGAGGGCGCCGCCGAAGGUGGGAUUGAUGACUGGGGUGAAGUCGUAACAAGGUACC